UACAGAGGUCUCAAGCGUUGUUCGGAUUCAUUGGGCGUAAAGGGUGCGUAGGCGGCGCGGUAAGUCGGGUGUGAAAUCUCGGAGCUUAACUCCGAAACUGCAUUCGAUACUGCCGUGCUUGAGGACUGGAGGGGAGACUGGAAUUUACGGUGUAGCGGUGAAAUGCGUAGAUAUCGUAAGGAAGACCAGUGGCGAAGGCGGGUCUCUGGACAGUUCCUGACGCUGAGGCACGAAGGUCAGGGGAGCAAACGGG
This 253-nucleotide ribosomal RNA is filed under the name uncultured bacterium. RNAcentral's name for it is "partial 16S ribosomal RNA". It matches the Rfam family "Bacterial small subunit ribosomal RNA", at positions 524 to 776 of the family's 1533-position model. The record is from RNAcentral.